GAGCCUUGAUCGCUAUCCACCGCCAAGCCCGCAGGUGGAUCUAAGAAGCACUUAACGAGCGAAAUGUCCAGCCAAGAGUCCCUCAAGGCUGCGAUGCGGGAGUCGCUGGAGGCGAACGGGACGAUUAGCCGCAUAAAGGCCGAGCUCCGCGCCGCCAUCUUCGAGCGACUCUCUGACGUCACUACCAACGGUGAUGACAGGGCUGCGGAAAACCCACCUGUGCCUCCAGAGAACAUGGUAAUCAAUGAGCUCAUCAAGGAGUACCUCACCUUCAACGGCCUAGAGCACACGCUGGCUGUCUUUCAGCUCGAGGCUCGAUCGCCGGACAGCCAAGUGCCGCGUCGCGUACUCGCGUCCGAGCUGAACAUGGCUGCCGCCCCGUCGUCCGUCCCGCUGCUCUACGCCAUGCUUCACGAGGCACGCCUCUCGAAAGAUCUGGGACAUUAGACGCCGUGAGUGCGCCCCCUCCCCUCCCCACGUGAAUGCAGGUUGCGCGCUCGGUCUCUUUGACCUUCCCCGCUUGCACGUGCGCCUUCUCUUCUUUCAAACAGUGGAGAUGAGGAUGCGGUGACUUCUGCUCUCCCAUGUUGUUGUUGCUGUUUUUCUUCGUGGGAUCGGGUGUGCCACUCGCUGCGUCCCGCCGUCGCCGACCAGCGGUGCUACGCAGACCUGUGCUUGUGCCUGCGUGUGCCUGUGGAGAAACAACAGAGAGAAGUGUUCAUGGGAUUCGUGUCUUUUCUGCACCCCUCCCUUUCCCCCCGGCGUGCUUGUCUUUUCUGGCCUCUCGUGCCGCUCCUCCACGGUGUGCUGUCUCUCUGCUAGACGACACUUCACCACUUCUGCAGUGGCGGUGGACGACGCGAGAAGAGAGGGUACGGAGAAUGGAGGGAGGGCAGCGCAUUGGUCGCGGGCGAGGGAUCACAAGCGACGCAUGCACACCGACCCUACCGCGCUUUGGCUAAUACACAGACGCCAAGGCACUUGCUCGUAUGCUUGCAUCGGGAACCUUCGCUCGCUUCCUCUUUCUGGCCCCUCCCCGUGCCCAUCGUUGCUCACCAUCUUGCGUUGCUCUUGUGCCACACACCGCGAGCGUUGGCACCCUCCCCUUCCGCCCUGUCCUUUUUUGUUUUGUUUGUUUCCGCCCCUCCGUCUCGUCAGCUCUCAUCAGCUCUCCCCCCCCCCACCCACACACACACACACGUGGGCCGCCCCUCCCUUCCGCACUCCCGCGCACUUUUUACGUUUUGCCCUCAG
Molecule: unclassified non-coding RNA, 1254 nt
Filed under: Leishmania donovani
Lineage: Eukaryota; Euglenozoa; Kinetoplastea; Trypanosomatida; Trypanosomatidae
Description: gene:LdHU3.33.2910(CDS-product:LisH_domain-contai ning_protein_FOPNL_putative)
Source: RNAcentral